ACUCUAUGAGUAUACCAGUAUAUUUGACUUCCAAUCAAAAGGUCUUAGAUAAAAUCUAAGAUAGAAUA
Molecule: transfer RNA, 68 nt
Filed under: Caenopedina pulchella
Lineage: Eukaryota; Metazoa; Echinodermata; Echinoidea; Pedinoida; Pedinidae
Description: tRNA-Gly
Rfam family: tRNA
About the family: Transfer RNA (tRNA) molecules are approximately 80 nucleotides in length. Their secondary structure includes four short double-helical elements and three loops (D, anti-codon, and T loops).
Source: RNAcentral